UACAGAGGUGGCAAGCGUUGUUCGGAAUUACUGGGCGUAAAGGGCGCGUAGGCGGUCUUCUAAGUCUUGUGUGAAAUCCCUCGGCUCAACUGAGGAACUGCACGGGAUACUGGAAGACUUGAGUUCGGGAGAGGGAAGCGGAAUUCCCGGUGUAGCAGUGAAAUGCGUAGAGAUCGGGAGGAACAUCAGUUGCGAAGGCGGCUCUCUGGACCAGUACUGACGCUGAGGCACGAAAGCGUGGGGAGCAAACAGG
RNAcentral lists this ribosomal RNA (253 nucleotides) under uncultured bacterium. RNAcentral's name for it is "partial 16S ribosomal RNA". It matches the Rfam family "Bacterial small subunit ribosomal RNA", at positions 524 to 776 of the family's 1533-position model. The record is from RNAcentral.